Molecule: ribosomal RNA, 602 nt
Filed under: Adineta vaga
Lineage: Eukaryota; Metazoa; Rotifera; Eurotatoria; Adinetida; Adinetidae
Description: eukaryotic small subunit ribosomal RNA
Rfam family: Eukaryotic small subunit ribosomal RNA
Source: RNAcentral
CCGAUUGAUCUUGUCGGUGGCUUUCCUUUGUCUUGAAGAUUAAGCCAUGCAUGUCUAAGUAUGAACUGGUUUAAGGUGAAACUGCGUACGGCUCAUUACAUCAGCUAUAACUUUCUUUGAUCAUAAAUUCUAAAUGGAAUAACCGAGGAAAAGCCUGGGCUAAUACAUGCGACAAUUCCGGUAGUAAUAUCGGAAUGCUUUUAUUAGAUCAAAACCUUCUAGUUCUUUAACCGGAACUGUUUGUUGGUGACUCUAAAUAACUUUGUGUUGAUCGUAUGACCUUUGUGUCGACGACAUAUCUUUCAAGUGUCUGACUUAUCAACUUUAGACGGUACAUUAUAUGUCUACCGUGGUUGUAACGAGUACAGAGAAUCAGGGUUUGGUUCUGGAGAGGCCGCCUGAGAAACGGCGACCACUUCCAAGGAAGGCAGCAGGCGCGCAAAUUACCCACUCUCAAAACGAGGAGGUAGUGAAGAGAAAUAACGAUGUUAGCCUUAUWAGGCUGACAAUCGGAAUGGGAACACUGUAAACAGGUUAUCGAUUAACAAUUGGAGGGCAAGUCUGGUGCCAGCAGCCGCGGUAASUYCAUCGUGAAAAAUACU